GAGAAGGAGAGGAAGGAAGAGAGAGGAUCAAUUAGUGAAUGAAGAUAAUGAAAAUGGCCCUUACACAGAGGUCUUAGUCACUGCCACAAAGGGGCUGGAGGAAACGGCAAGGGGCUGCCCUGGGUGGAGGUUAGACAGGGCUUCUCGGGGCGGACGGGUGGAGGUUGGACAGGGCUUCUCGGGGCUGCCCUGGGUGGAGGUUAGACAGGGCUUCUCGGGGCGGACGGGUGGAGGUUAGACAGGGCUUCUCGGGGCGGACGGGUGGAGGUUGGACAGGGCUUCUCGGGGCGGACGCGUGGAGGUUGGACAGGGCUUCUCGGGGCGGACGCGUGGAGGUUGGACAGGGCUUCUCGGGGCGGACCUGGGUGGAGGUUAGACAGGGCUUCUCGGGGCGGACGCGUGGAGGUUGGACAGGGCUUCUCGGGGCGGACGGGUGGAGGUUGGACAGGGCUUCUCGGGGCGGACGGGUGGAGGUUGGACAGGGCUUCUCGGGGCGGACGGGUGGAGGUUGGACAGGGCUUCUCGGGGCUGCCCUGGGUGGAGGUUGGACAGGGCUUCUCGGGGCGGACGGGUGGAGGUUGGACAGGGCUUCUCGGGGCGGACGGGUGGAGGUUGGACAGGGCUUCU
This is a long non-coding RNA of Esox lucius (northern pike), 627 nucleotides long. RefSeq lists it as uncharacterized. The record is from RefSeq and is a predicted model, not a curated record. The transcript has 3 exons. NCBI's taxonomy places the organism in Eukaryota, Metazoa, Chordata, Actinopteri, Esociformes, Esocidae.